UGGAGAGUUUGAUCCUGGCUCAGAUUGAACGCUGGCGGCAGGCCUAACACAUGCAAGUCGAACGGUAGCACAGAGAGCUUGCUCUCGGGUGACGAGUGGCGGACGGGUGAGUAAUGUCUGGGAAACUGCCUGAUGGAGGGGGAUAACUACUGGAAACGGUAGCUAAUACCGCAUAACGUCGCAAGACCAAAGAGGGGGACCUUCGGGCCUCUUGCCAUCAGAUGUGCCCAGAUGGGAUUAGCUAGUAGGUGGGGUAACGGCUCACCUAGGCGACGAUCCCUAGCUGGUCUGAGAGGAUGACCAGCCACACUGGAACUGAGACACGGUCCAGACUCCUACGGGAGGCAGCAGUGGGGAAUAUUGCACAAUGGGCGCAAGCCUGAUGCAGCCAUGCCGCGUGUAUGAAGAAGGCCUUCGGGUUGUAAAGUACUUUCAGCGGGGAGGAAGGSRRUAAGGUUAAUAACCUUGUYSAUUGACGUUACCCGCAGAAGAAGCACCGGCUAACUCCGUGCCAGCAGCCGCGGUA
This 526-nucleotide ribosomal RNA is filed under the name Enterobacter cancerogenus. RNAcentral describes it as "bacterial SSU rRNA". It matches the Rfam family "Bacterial small subunit ribosomal RNA", at positions 1 to 522 of the family's 1533-position model. The record is from RNAcentral. Lineage: Bacteria; Pseudomonadati; Pseudomonadota; Gammaproteobacteria; Enterobacterales; Enterobacteriaceae.